UGGUAGAUGCACCCUGAUAACUUGCUCCCCUAGUUAACUGUCGGUUGCUAGGGGAUUUUUUU
RNAcentral lists this small RNA (62 nucleotides) under Fischerella thermalis JSC-11. RNAcentral describes it as "Fischerella sp. JSC-11 Nitrogen stress-induced RNA 1". It matches the Rfam family "Nitrogen stress-induced RNA 1". The record is from Rfam by way of RNAcentral. Lineage: Bacteria; Bacillati; Cyanobacteriota; Cyanophyceae; Nostocales; Hapalosiphonaceae.